Non-coding RNA from Anas platyrhynchos (mallard), 226 nucleotides. Lineage: Eukaryota; Metazoa; Chordata; Aves; Anseriformes; Anatidae. The record is from RefSeq and is a predicted model, not a curated record.
CGGGGCGCGCAGGGCGAAGGGGGCAGGAGCAGCAGCAGCAGGAGGAGGAGGAGGAGGAGGAAGAAGGCGAGGAGGCGGCGGAGCAGCGGCCGGAGCAGCGUUCGGUGGGCAGAGGAGACGCGAGCGCAGAGCCGCAAUCCCGCCGCUGCCCCGCGCCUUUCGCCGCGCCUCGUUCACGGAUGCCGGAGAGAAAAUGCCACGGCUGCUUCUCCCCCCCUUCUGCCCC